UUACUAUAGCUUGACACUGAACAUUGAGCCUUGAUGUGUAGGAUAGGUGGGAGGCUUUGAAGUGUGGACGCCAGUCUGCAUGGAGCCGACCUUGAAAUACCACCCUUUAAUGUUUGAUGUUCUAACGUGGACCCGUAAUCCGGGUUGCGGACAGUGUCUGGUGGGUAGUUUGACUGGGGCGGUCUCCUCCUAAAGAGUAACGGAGGAGCACGAAGGUUGGCUAAUCCUGGUCGGACAUCAGGAGGUUAGUGCAAUGGCAUAAGCCAGCUUGACUGCGAGCGUGACGGCGCGAGCAGGUGCGAAAGCAGGUCAUAGUGAUCCGGUGGUUCUGAAUGGAAGGGCCAUCGCUCAACGGAUAAAAGGUACUCCGGGGAUAACAGGCUGAUACCGCCCAAGAGUUCAUAUCGACGGCGGUGUUUGGCACCUCGAUGUCGGCUCAUCACAUCCUGGGGCUGAAGUAGGUCCCAAGGGUAUGGCUGUUCGCCAUUUAAAGUGGUACGCGAGCUGGGUUUAGAACGUCGUGAGACAGUUCGGUCCCUAUCUGCCGUGGGCGCUGGAGAACUGAGGGGGGCUGCUCCUAGUACGAGAGGACCGGAGUGGACGCAUCACUGGUGUUCGGGUUGUCAUGCCAAUGGCACUGCCCGGUAGCUAAAUGCGGAAGAGAUAAGUGCUGAAAGCAUCUAAGCACGAAACUUGCCCCGAGAUGAGUUCUCCCUGAGACUUAGAGUCUCCUGAAGGAACGUUGAAGACGACGACGUUGAUAGGCCGGGUGUGUAAGCGCAGCGAUGCGUUGAGCUAACCGGUACUAAUGAACCGUGAGGCUUAACCUU
This 830-nucleotide ribosomal RNA is filed under the name Salmonella enterica. RNAcentral describes it as "partial 23S ribosomal RNA". It matches the Rfam family "Bacterial large subunit ribosomal RNA", at positions 2101 to 2925 of the family's 2925-position model. Lineage: Bacteria; Pseudomonadati; Pseudomonadota; Gammaproteobacteria; Enterobacterales; Enterobacteriaceae. The record is from RNAcentral.